Molecule: ribosomal RNA, 492 nt
Filed under: uncultured bacterium
Lineage: Bacteria
Description: partial 16S ribosomal RNA
Rfam family: Bacterial small subunit ribosomal RNA
Source: RNAcentral
AGUGAACGCUGGCGGUAGGCCUAACACAUGCAAGUCGAACGGCAGCACAGUAAGAGCUUGCUCUUACGGGUGGCGAGUGGCGGACGUGUGAGGAAUACAUCGGAAUCUACUUUUUCGUGGGGGAUAACGUAGGGAAACUUACGCUAAUACCGCAUACGACCUACGGGUGAAAGCAGGGGAUCUUCUGACCUUGCGCGAUUGAAUGAGCCGAUGUCGGAUUAGCUAGUUGGCGGGUUAAAGGCCCACCAAGGCGCGGAUCCGUAGCUGGUCUGAGAGGAUAAUAGGCCGCCUGGGAACGGAGACACCGUCCAUACGCCUACGGGAGGCAGCAGUCGGGAAUAUUAGACAAUGGGCGCAAGCAUGGUCCAGCCAUACCGAGUGGGUGAAGAAGGCCUUCGGGUUGUAAAGCCCUUUUGUUGGGAAAGAAAAGCAGCAGGUUAAUACCCCGCUGUUCUGACGGUACCCAAAGAAUAAGCACCGGCUAACUUCGUG